AUGCGCUGUUGUUCUCUGAAGCGAGCUGAUAUUGAAAGACAUUAUUAGAGAAUGGUUCAACGUUAUUAUCUCCUUAAUAGAUUUAAUGACAUUAAUUUUCAGCACACAUACAUUGCUUCUUUUCCAGAAGAAUUACAGCCAGAGUUACAUCGGUCUCUUGCAGCAACCAGAAGGGAUAUGAAUAGUAUCUCAAUUGGUGAAAUUCACCAA
RNAcentral lists this unclassified non-coding RNA (210 nucleotides) under Hevea brasiliensis (rubber tree). The record is from RNAcentral. Lineage: Eukaryota; Viridiplantae; Streptophyta; Magnoliopsida; Malpighiales; Euphorbiaceae.